This 648-nucleotide long non-coding RNA is filed under the name Gopherus agassizii (Agassiz's desert tortoise). RNAcentral's name for it is "lncRNA (ENSGAGG00000002391.1)". Lineage: Eukaryota; Metazoa; Chordata; Testudines; Testudinidae. The record is from RNAcentral.
CUACAAUGUUCUUUUUAAGAUCUAAAUAAGGUUGUGCUCAGAUCUCCAUAUUCUUUUGUCAAGGAAAUGCUCCUGCUGUUGGGAAUACUAGUACUGAAAUGGUUAUUACCACUUUGCUAAAGGCGGCUAUUACUCUACUUAUCUAAAGACAAGGAAAGACAAGACCCUGCAAAAAUGAGAUUUUAAUCACUAUGUUUUAUUUGAUACCGAUUUUAAUCAUUCCCCCCCCCCCCGAGCCUCAUUUUUAUUAAAUUACAAAAUAUGAAAAGGGCUGUAAGUCCUGCUAGGGGGUUCUGUUUUAAAUUGUUAACUUGAGUUUAUUGCUCCAUUUUUUUUUACCCCAAGUUCUUACAGAUGUGCAAUUUUUACAGAACUGUAUGUGCUGAAGAUGCAAGCCCUCAAAAUCUGUCAAGUAUCAGUUUGCGGUCCUGAGACUGAUGGCUGGGAGAUAGGAAUUUUUAAGUUAAAAUCAAGUAUAGCUACACUUCUACCAUGAUGUCUCAACUAAUAAUGGCAAGUUUUCUGCACCGUCUUCAUUGCAUAUCUGCACAGUGGCCAACCAGCAUCCAGAUGGGGAGCACAGACACUGCUAUGAGAUAAUCCUACCAGAGAUGUUAUCUUCAUCAAGGGGUGAGUAAGGUUAUGACA